Schizosaccharomyces pombe (fission yeast) is the source of this 949-nucleotide non-coding RNA. The record is from the annotation of a GenBank genome assembly. Lineage: Eukaryota; Fungi; Ascomycota; Schizosaccharomycetes; Schizosaccharomycetales; Schizosaccharomycetaceae.
CUUGUGGAAAAGACAUGCCAAGUAAUCUUUGAUGGUUUUUAUGAAGAUUGGGAUGUCUUUUUCGACGACGAUUACGACUAAGGCAUCGUGAUCUUGUUUUGUCUACAGAUUGUCUCUCACUGAAGUGAGGCUGUGCAAAGGAAGGUGCAUCAAGCAAAUAUGUAUCCUGAAAUUCUGUAUCUACCGAGACAGGUGAAGUAUCAAAAGGAUUGACGUAUUGAGGGUUUAUGCAGGAUAAAUGUGAUUUUGUCGCAAUAGGAGUUGACUGGUUUCCGCACCAUGAAAUUUCCUCUUUCGAAGAAAUAAACGAGUCUAUUGAGUUUAAAGAGUUUUCUAAAAGGGAAGAGUGUACACCAACGCAGAGAGUGCCUGAACCACUCAGGUCAUUGCUAGGAAUAUCAAUGUCUUGAUUUAUAAUGUCAUCGUAUUCAAGCCAGGAAUCCAUCUUAAAAGUCCCAAAAAUUAAUUGCUUACUAGCAAAAAGGUAACUAUAAAAUUGCGAUGCAAACUAAGGAGAUUCUAUGGCUGUGUUCUUUGAAAAAAAAAAUGAGUUUAAAACUGCUAGUGACUAGUAAUAUAGCAUUACAUAUAAUAACAGAAAUGAUAAGUAUCCAAAAAAAAGCAGGCAAACUCGUUAGAUUUGAGUCUAACUUUUUCUUCAAAAUGCCAAUAAAACCGAACUCUCAGUCAACAAUAAUGAUGAUCCUCUAAUUCAACCUGAAGCUUUGUUCAAGAAACGAAAUAAUAUCAAUUAUAAAUAAGCAGUAAUCCAUAGACUUCAAAACGUCCACUCCAUAAGCUUGCGUGUCUCUUUUAUACGAUUUAGCACAAGCGCACUUCUAUUGUGCAGCUUUGGAAAGAUGAGCCAAUUCUAAAGCUUCCGUAGAGUUGAGUUACAAACUACCCAGAAUUUUUGAAUAGUAAUUAAAUGUUGGUACUACGCACGCGA